CUUUUUUUUAGAUGACUUAAAUAUAGGAAUAUUCACCAAUGCAGAAUCACAUUGUGGAUCAUUAAUGGAGAGGGACAUCACAAAUUGUUCAUCUCCUGAGAUUUCGGCAGAACUUAUUGGACAGUUUAGCACCAAGAAAAACAAGCAAGAACUAACUCAGGAUAAAGGAGCCAGCUUAGAAAAAGAAAACAAUCGGUGUAAUGACCAGUGUAAUCAGUUCACAAGAAUAGAGAAACAAACAAAACACAUGAAGAAAUAUCCUAAAAGGCCUGAUUGGAAUAUAAAUAAGCCACCUAAAAGGUAUAUUCCAGCAUCAGAAAAGUACCCUAAACAGCUUCAAAAGCAGAGAGAAGAAAAAAAAGUAAGGAGGCAGAUGGAAUUGCUUCAUUUGGUAGAAAAAAAUAAUCCUGGGCACCUCUCUCAAAACAGAGGCAUUUCACCAGAAAUUUUUCAUUCAUCUCAUCAAGAAACGGAGUCAAAGUUGAGGUGGCAUCUAGUCAAAAAGGUAAAGCUCUUCCAUCUUAGAUGAUGUGUUGACGUUUCUGGAUUCAAAACACAGUUUCUCAUAUGUAUGCUUUGGUAAGGCUGCUCUGAUCUGUUUCAGUUUACAUUAGGGAUCAGCAAACUAUAUCCCAUGGGCAAAUCCAGGCUGCUGCCUGUUUUUGGAAAGUUUUAUACAAACAUAGUCAACUCAUUCUUUUAUGAAUUGUCUGUGGCUGACUUCACACACCAGACUAGCAACAGAAACAAUAUGGCCCACAAAGCUGAAAAGGUUUCCUUAUGCUUAUCGAGUCCUUUACACUUACACAACUUCUAUAGAUGAAUGUUGUGUAUUCAAAUACCCCUUUAAAACCCUUGUUUAUAGUCCACAUAGACAGAGGUUUGGGAGAUUAGGAACUCCCAAGGAUUAGUUUUGACUCUGGAAAAAACUAAAUAUCUAUUCCAUUGCUCAGUCAGUACCUGUUAUUCAAAUAUUACCCUCAGAUUAUUUCAACAAGUAGCCCUAAAAAUAUUUGUGGGGACAUGUGAAAAUGCUAUAUAUUCCUUUCUGCAUUUAUCUAUCCAUAUUUUAGGGAGAAGAGCCUCUGAAUAUUCAUUCAUUCAGCAAGGAAAGGUAAGUAUGCAUCAGAUUAAUUCCGCAGCUACUUAGUGCUUUCUAUGUGGGACAAAAAAGGGAUUCAAGAUCUGGACAGCAUCAUAUGGUAUAUGUAGAGAACAAUCAGAAAGGGUGUGGCUUCCAGGUGAGGGUUAGAGGUUUAAGGGAUAGUGUGGCACUCUAGCAGGAGCUUGAAGGCCCAAGUUGGACUGGGCCUAGGCAGGAAUGUAGAUAACAUUUACUUUUAUCUCUAGACUUAACUAAGUGAUUUUGAUAUUCCAGGUAUGUCAUUAGCAGAAUAGGCAUUCUGCUUUGGGAGGAGGGAUGGCUGGGGGCUGUGAAUGGGAAGAAAUGACUGAUAAGGACAAUGAGAAAUUCAGUCAGUUAAUGAGAGAUUUAGAACCAUUAGAAUUUUUAUUUGUGCAUGAACCAGCUGGUUUAGUUGUCUCAGAAUGGGGCUCUAAAAACAAGUUUCAUUCAAAUGGUGAGUACAUUAUUGUAUGGUGAAUUAUCUAAGGAGAAACAGUAGGCUCAGAUUAACCAAGCCAGCAGUGUUCCUCAGGAUCUAGGAAUUAAAUUUCUCCCUUGUGCUACAGUACACAUACCAUAGCUAGUGCUAGUAAAAACAUAAAUGAAUACCAUUCUCUUCCCCGGUUUUAUGGAACAAUAUUAUAGAGUUCAGGCUUCUAUGCAUACAUUCCCAAAGGUGUUACAGGUACAUUUAGAAUAAAGUGAAAUGGGUCAGGCAUAUGGCUCACGCCUGUAAUCCCAGCACUUUGGGAGGCCGAGGCAGGUGGAUCACCUGAGGUCAGGAGUUCAAGACCAGCCUGGCCAACAUGGUGAACCCCGUCUCUACUAAAAAUACAGAAACUAGCUGGGCACUGUGGCGUGCGCCUGUAAUCCCAGCUACUUGGGAGGCUGAGGCAGGAGAGUUGCAGUGAGCUGAGAUCGUGCCACUGCACUCCAGCCUGGGCAACAGAGCAAGACUUCUCUCAUAAAUAAAGUGAAAUGUGAUUAAAGAGAUAUACUUAAUCUAAAUACACAAUUUUUUACUAAGGCUAUUUUUUUUUAAAAUAGGUCUCCAUCAUCACCAGUUCCAGUAGUGAAAAACAGAACCCAACAAACUCAAAAUACAUUACAUUUACCACUAAAAAACAGUAGCUAUGAGAGAGAGAAUUUGAUCUCAGGAAGUAAUCAAACAGAAUUAUCAUCUGGGAUUUCUGAAUCAUCCCAUUUUAUUCCGUAUGUUCGAACAAAUGAGAUCUAUUACCUUGAUCCCGAUGCACCAUUGUCUGGGCCUUCAACCCAGGACGCUCAGUACCAAAAUUCACAAGACUGUGGCCAAAAACGACAGCUAUUUGAUUCUGACUGUGUCAGGGAUCCACUUCUUAAUCCUAACAUGGUGAAAAAUAGGGAUCGACAGCAAGCAAUCCUUAACGGACUUUCAGAACUGAGACAGGGCCUUCUCCAGAAGCAAAAGGAGUUGGAAAGUAGUCUCCUGCCUUUAGCUGAAAAUCAAGAAGAGAAUUUUGGUUCUUCAUUUUAAAUGUAGAAAAUCAAAUCCUUCACAUUUGAUUUGUGUCUUCCAAAUUAUAAAAUGUGCUCACUGGCUCAACUGUAUUUUUCAAAUAGCCUAGAUUUACUUAUUUUUUUAAAUGCUCAUUAAAAACUUGUAUACUAUGUAGUAAAA
This 2786-nucleotide small RNA is filed under the name Pan troglodytes (chimpanzee). Its description in RNAcentral is "retained intron". The record is from RNAcentral. Lineage: Eukaryota; Metazoa; Chordata; Mammalia; Primates; Hominidae.